UGUAGCUCAGUGGUAGAGCACUUGCCUAGUAGACAUGAGGCCCUGGGUCCAAUCCCUGCA
This 60-nucleotide transfer RNA is filed under the name Heterocephalus glaber (naked mole-rat). It matches the Rfam family "tRNA", at positions 6 to 65 of the family's 71-position model. From Rfam's summary of the family: Transfer RNA (tRNA) molecules are approximately 80 nucleotides in length. Their secondary structure includes four short double-helical elements and three loops (D, anti-codon, and T loops). Further hydrogen bonds mediate the characteristic L-shaped molecular structure. tRNAs have two regions of fundamental functional importance: the anti-codon, which is responsible for specific mRNA codon recognition, and the 3' end, to which the tRNAs corresponding amino acid is attached (by aminoacyl-tRNA synthetases). tRNAs cope with the degeneracy of the genetic code in two manners: having more than one tRNA (with a specific anti-codon) for a particular amino acid; and 'wobble' base-pairing, i.e. permitting non-standard base-pairing at the 3rd anti-codon position. Lineage: Eukaryota; Metazoa; Chordata; Mammalia; Rodentia; Bathyergidae. The record is from Rfam by way of RNAcentral.